RNAcentral lists this ribosomal RNA (460 nucleotides) under uncultured bacterium. Its description in RNAcentral is "partial 16S ribosomal RNA". It matches the Rfam family "Bacterial small subunit ribosomal RNA", at positions 338 to 795 of the family's 1533-position model. The record is from RNAcentral.
CCUACGGGUGGCCGCAGUGAGGAAUAUUGGUCAAUGGACGCAAGUCUGAACCAGCCAUGCCGCGUGCAGGACGACGGCUCUCUGAGUUGUAAACUGCUUUUGUACGAGGAUCAACGCACAUACGCGUAUCUGUCUGAAAGUAUCGUACGACUAAGGAUCGGCUAACUCCGUGCCAGCAGCCGCGGUCAUCCGGAGGAUUCAAGCUUUCUCCGGAUUUAUUGGGGUUAAAGGUUGCGUAGGCGGUCGGAUAAGUUAGAGGUGAAAUCCCGAGGCUCAACUUCGGAAGUGACUCUGAUACUGUUCGGCUAGAGAGUAGUUGCGGUAGGCGGAAUGUAUGGUGUAGCGGUGAAAUGCUUAGAGAUCAUACAGAACACCGAUUGCGAAGGCAGCUUACCAAGCUACUUCUGACGUUGAGGCACGAAAGCGUGGGGAGCAAACAGGAUUAGAUACCCCUGUAGUC